Paramuricea clavata is the source of this 526-nucleotide non-coding RNA. NCBI's taxonomy places the organism in Eukaryota, Metazoa, Cnidaria, Anthozoa, Malacalcyonacea, Plexauridae. The record is from the annotation of a GenBank genome assembly.
UAACCUGGUUCAUACAUAAGCUGCGACCUGGUCCUGAUCCUGUUGCUUUCCACCCAUACUAUUAUGUUUUAUUUUUAGUAUCAGAAUGCCCUCAAUUUCAUAUAACAUCGACAAUCUAAUAAAAGUUACAACCACUAAUUAUGACGUGUAUAUUUCGAUAAAAUUGCAGCUCUCUUAGCCAAGCAGAUUCGAGUAAUUUUUCAUGUAUAUUAUUAGGAAGACAAAUAACAAGGUAAUUUUGCAUAUGAAGUUCCAACUUCUUGCAAAGAUAUUUUCGCACCAUGUGCGUGAAUAAAUUAUGGCAACACCCUUCAUUUGUCAUUAUGAACGUUUGCAUUGACUCUGAUCUCUUUAUAUAGGUGAAUUCGUGGUUAACUUGGUUGGAAACUGCCGCGGAAGAGAGCUCGGAGUCUGAGCCCGAAUAAAAUUAUUAAUUAAGUUGCUACAAUAAUUAAUGUAAUUUUUAAUUCAAUUGUAAUUUCGAAUUUUUCUUCUGCAAUAUUAAAAUAAAAAUUCAAUAAUCAUC